GUUUCUCUGUGUAGCCUUGGCUGUCCUGGAACUCACUUUGUAGACCAGGCUGGCCUUGAACUCAGAGAUUCACCUGCCUCUGCCUCCCAAGUGCUUGGGAUUAAAGGCAUGCACCACCACUGCCC
Cricetulus griseus (Chinese hamster) is the source of this 125-nucleotide microRNA precursor. NCBI's taxonomy places the organism in Eukaryota, Metazoa, Chordata, Mammalia, Rodentia, Cricetidae. The record is from Ensembl.